UAGGGAAUCUUCCGCAAUGGGCGAAAGCCUGACGGAGCAACGCCGCGUGAGUGAUGAAGGUCUUCGGAUCGUAAAACUCUGUUAUUAGGGAAGAACAAAUGUGUAAGUAACUAUGCACGUCUUGACGGUACCUAAUCAGAAAGCCACGGCUAACUACGUUCCAGCAGCCGCGGUAAUACGUAGGUGGCAAGCGUUAUCCGGAAUUAUUGGGCGUAAAGCGCGCGUAGGCGGUUUUUUAAGUCUGAUGUGAAAGCCCACGGCUCAACCGUGGAGGGUCAUUGGAAACUGGAAAACUUGAGUGCAGAAGAGGAAAGUGGAAUUCCAUGUGUAGCGGUGAAAUGCGCAGAGAUAUGGAGGAACACCAGUGGCGAAGGCGACUUUCUGGUCUGUAACUGACGCUGAUGUGCGAAAGCGUGGGGAUCAAACAGG
RNAcentral lists this ribosomal RNA (429 nucleotides) under Actinomycetes bacterium. Its description in RNAcentral is "Actinobacteria bacterium partial 16S ribosomal RNA". It matches the Rfam family "Bacterial small subunit ribosomal RNA", at positions 355 to 776 of the family's 1533-position model. Lineage: Bacteria; Bacillati; Actinomycetota; Actinomycetes. The record is from RNAcentral.